CUGAGUAACGAGGUCUCCGGACCCGCUACCCGCCCAAUGUCAUUUGUUGGACGAGGUCGCCUUUCGGGGCGGCCUCCGACGUCACUUCCCGGGAAGCGUUGCGCCCCCACCAGGUUCUGUCCUGGGGGCAAGACCGCCCGGGGUCUUUUUCAAACACACUGCAAGAAUCUGAAGUCUGAAGUAACAUAAAAUGAAGCA
This 198-nucleotide unclassified non-coding RNA is filed under the name uncultured Sympoventuriaceae. RNAcentral's name for it is "sequence contains ITS1". The record is from RNAcentral. Lineage: Eukaryota; Fungi; Ascomycota; Dothideomycetes; Venturiales.